RNAcentral lists this ribosomal RNA (274 nucleotides) under uncultured bacterium. RNAcentral's name for it is "partial 16S ribosomal RNA". It matches the Rfam family "Bacterial small subunit ribosomal RNA", at positions 523 to 796 of the family's 1533-position model. The record is from RNAcentral.
AUACAGAGGGUGCAAGCGUUAUUCGGAAUUACUGGGCGUAAAGCGCACGUAGGCGGACUGGAAAGUUGGGGGUGAAAUCCCGGGGCUCAACCCCGGAACUGCCUCCAAAACUUCCAAUCUAGAGAUCGAGAGAGGUGAGUGGAAUUCCAAGUGUAGAGGUGAAAUUCGUAGAUAUUUGGAGGAACACCAGUGGCGAAGGCGGCUCACUGGCUCGAUACUGACGCUGAGGUGCGAAAGCGUGGGGAGCAAACAGAAUUAGAUACCCUAGUAGUCC